This is a long non-coding RNA of Engraulis encrasicolus (European anchovy), 470 nucleotides long. RefSeq lists it as uncharacterized. The record is from RefSeq and is a predicted model, not a curated record. The transcript has 3 exons. NCBI's taxonomy places the organism in Eukaryota, Metazoa, Chordata, Actinopteri, Clupeiformes, Engraulidae.
CACGGGUGAGGGACAGGGACCAAAGAGGAGGCUCUACAACAUGAGGAAAGACGGCGAUCCUCAAGCAGUCAGUCCAUGAGCCCACGUCUUCAGGCCAGGGCCCCGAGAGGAAUUUCCAGUGACAUGGAUCAACAGAGGUCCUCAAACAGUCAGUCCAUGUGCCACGUUCCAGCCAGGGACCAAAAGGGGGGCUUUCGUCAUGGGGCCAGACAGACAUCCUCAAGCAGUAAGUUGAUUUACAAGGAUGCAUUCUGAAGUUGAAUUGAAGUAGUUAUAUUGUUGUACGCUGGCUACUAUUCAAUGUGUCAAAGUGAAAUUUAUUAAUUGUUGUCCCAUGAAAAAAUGAACUGUAUUUACAAAUCUCAAUGUAUCGUUCCAGGGAUAAGAGUUCAAGAAUGUUGUUGCAGGUGAAUUGAUCAUUGAAAUUUGCUGAUUCAAUGCCAUUUUUGUAUCUUUACUUUUUGGAGAAA